AUGAAAAAUAAUAAUAAUGAAACAUAAAAUUUUAUUUAUUUCCUAUUUUAAUUCGCCCAGCAAAGUGGGCGGGAAACGGCUAGUAUUAUAUAAAGUGUUUUAUUCCGAUUACUAUCUACAUAGCAUUUAAUACUGCAUAGUAUUAGAUGACAGACUUUUUUGUUUCAAAUUGUGGUCUUUGGUGAAAUUGUAAACAUGUUGUUUACAAUUUCGGUGUGAUCGUGAGAGCUUGGAAAUUCCGUGUUUUGUUUUAUUGUAAAUGGUUAGGUUAGGUUAGUAAUAAUUUUAAUUGUGUUUGUAAGCAUAUUUUUCAUUUGUAUCGUUCAUUUUUAUUUUGUUGUUGAAGAUGUUUUAUAGUUCCUUUUUGUAUGCCUUGUCUCGCCCAUACAACUUUUGUGAAAUAGGUUAUAUCUAGUUUAUACUUAGGUUGAGAAAUAAUACUUAUGUAUUAAUAAACAAAUGUACCAAAUAUAUGCAGCUGAGCAGGUUUUUUUUUUUAAAUUAAAGAAACAGAA
Long non-coding RNA from Pieris napi, 515 nucleotides. RefSeq lists it as uncharacterized. Lineage: Eukaryota; Metazoa; Arthropoda; Insecta; Lepidoptera; Pieridae. The record is from RefSeq and is a predicted model, not a curated record. The transcript has 2 exons.